Molecule: RNA transcript, 4855 nt
Organism: Erpetoichthys calabaricus (reedfish)
Lineage: Eukaryota; Metazoa; Chordata; Cladistia; Polypteriformes; Polypteridae
Gene: rbm20
Gene name: RNA binding motif protein 20
Exons: 15
Source: RefSeq, a predicted model, not a curated record
GCAUUUUUCACGCCGAAGCUCCAGUUGGAGUCUCACUCAGUGGAGUAGGCUGAAGGAGGCCGAUAGUAGUAAUGAGCUUUUAGUGGUCACUGCAAGGCUCCAGGAAACCGAUUGGCUAAGUAGCUUUCAGCUCUCUUCCUGAUAUUUUCCUGAAGUGUUUUUUUUCUUCUUUUAUCUUUGGUUGUGCUACUUUCUUUGAAGAUUUGUGUGGGGGUUGGCUUUUUUUUCCUUAUUUUAUUUUGCCAGUGAGAGGGAGACACAACAGACUGCAUAGUUAGCGAGGCUGGGGGGUGGUUUCCUCAAACGUAUUGGAGUGCUGAGAAGCUUUCACUGCUGCUGUCUUUUCAUUCUUACUAAGAGCAAACCUGGCAUUGGGAGCCUGAAACUGGACUAAUUUACAUUAGUAAAACCAAAAGCUCUAGAGAAGAACAAAAUAACAGAAAGGAAAAAGUGGAAAUAUUACAAACUGAACCAUGGAGAAAACCCAGGAGAUAUGCAAGCUUGUUAGCAAGAAACCGGGAAACUCUGGCCCGAAUGAAACUGGAUCAACGCUUAUCCGUCCCUCGCUUUCACAGAGUGUCCCUGCUCCAAAGUACCCGGAGAAGAAAGCUUUUCCACUUGGCACUCCAGUGCCCGGAGGAGGCCAAAAUCCUUUGCUUCUAACCCCUGCAAGUCUUCAACUUGCUCAGCUCCAAGCCCAGCUCACUCUCCACAGACUAAAAUUGGCACAGACAGCCGUCAACAGCAACACAGCAGCAGCUGCCACAGUCCUGAAUCAGGUCCUCUCCAAGGUGGCGAUGUCUCAGCCCAUAUUUAAUCAGCUGAGAACUCCGACAAUGGUCAGCACUCCUCAUGGCCAUGCUGGCGGAGUUCAGCUGGGUGCAGGGAUGUCUGUGGCUGCCAGGUUAUCUUCAGCUGGAUUACAUUUCACACCUCCAAACACUGGCAUAGGACCUAUAGUGGGAAGAAUUGGAUGUCCAAGCAGCCUACACGCCUCAAAUGCAAGCGCCCUGGGGCUCAAUCAUUUUGGAGGCAUGGUGUCUCAAGCUCCCAAUCAGCAUACAUCAGCACCAACCAAACCAGAAGUAUCUCUCACAAACAGUGGAUAUUCUGAUCACCGGAAUAAAGUGAGUCUGUCUACUCCUCUCGAAUAUAUAGCAGACACCAGCCGAUGCAGCCAGUAUAAUUUUUUAACUGCAGUUCCCAGUGCCUCUCCAGGGAAAUCAGCUGAGGGGCAGUACAUGCCUUCUAAUCAGGCACUGCUUGGAAAUCCAUCCGGCCUGCAGCAGGAUUUCUACAGUUCAAGUAGUCAGGGUCAACAAGUACUGAAUAUGCAGACAGCAAAUUACUCUGGUGAACAGAUUGUCCGAAACCUUCAGCAAGGCAGCCACAAAGACCUAAUCAUCCAGGGAAAAUGUCCAGCCAGCCAGUGGCAAGGCCAGGUCAGCUUUUCCACUUCUUGCAAACCAGAGGUGGCAUCCACCUCUGCUGGAGUAUGGACACCAUUAAGUCAGCCUUUCCACGUGAGGAGUGAGCUCUAUGAUCCUGAGGAACCUACUACAGACUCAAAGUUCAAUCCGUCAACUGCUCCAUUGUCCCUGAGCCAAAGUGCAACCAACAACCAAGGAUACAUGGGAUUUCAGCGUGUGGUGCAAACAGAAGACAAAAAUCCUCAGGGCCUUGUGCUACCUUUGCAGCCUCAUCAGAUCAAUGACUUCCAUGCUGUAACACCUUCUCAUCUACCUCAUGUCUGCAGCAUUUGUGAUAAAAAGGUCUUCAAUCUCAAAGACUGGGACCAGCAUGUCAAUGGGAAGCUUCAUUUACAGAAGCGUAUGCUUUUCUCUGAGAGCUCAGCAUCUGGACCUGCUAAUUUCCCAGCGUUUUCAGAUGGAAGCCUAAGUAUUUCUACAGCCAGCUCCAUGGAUUAUACUUCAACAGGCCCCCAAGGCUCCAUCUCUUCUUUUAAAUCUUCUGCUGCAAUAAGAUCAAAGUCUCACUCCAUUGCUGGAUAUUCAUCCCAGUCAGGGUCAAAGAGAAGUUCAGUACCUGGAAGAGUUGUGCAUAUAUGCAAUCUUCCUGAAGGUAGCUGUACAGAAAAUGAUGUCAUCAACCUUGGACUCCCCUUUGGGAAAGUUACUAACUAUAUCCUUAUGAGAUCAACUAACCAGGCAUUUUUAGAAAUGGCGUAUGUAGAAGCUGCACAGGCAAUGGUGCAAUAUUACCAACAGAAACCAGCCAUGAUUAAUAAAGAAAAGCUGCUUAUCCGUAUGUCAAAACGAUAUAAGGAGCUGCAACUUAAGAAACCAGGAAAGGAUGUCCAGUCUAUUAUCCAUGACAUUAACUCACAGAGAGAAAGAGAUGUUCUGCAUGACACUGAAAGAUACCCCAUGGAAAGGACCCGUUCUCGUAGCCCUGUUAGUAGAUCAUUAAGUCCCAGAUCUCACAGUCCCAGCUUUACAUCUUGUAGCUCUUCUCACAGUCCACUGAUUCUGUCCCGAGGAGACUGGAGCAAUGGGUAUGGAGAGAAAAGGCCAUCAUGGAACCCAUCACCACAUGCUGGUAGAGAGGAGGAAGAAGACGGAGGUGAACUGAGCUGGAGAAAUCAAGAAGAUGACCCUGCAGAUCCAUGGAUGCAGGAAAGAAAGAGGUCUUACCUUAGACAAAAAGACAAAUCAAGUCCCAGAACAGUGGAAGAGAGACAAGAAGGAAUGAGAGGAAACCGUGAUAGAUAUGUUAAAAACGCUUCUCAUAGUUCUUACCAAGACCAAGAUGAUGACAACUGCAAGAAGGAAGUCAAAAACAAGUCUGAGAAAUCCCAGAAGCAGCAGCAAUAUGAUGCAAAGACAAGAAAGAAAAAAACUGAAGGCCAUCAAAAACAAAACGAAGGAAGUCUGUGUGGAAGUGAAAUCUUAGAAGACUCAAGUGCAGAAGGAAAAGCCAGAAGGAUAUCGGAGGAAAGGAGCCAAACAGACACAAAGAAGAUGAGGGAGACUAUAGAAAAACGAGCAAAAAGCAUGUCAGAAAGCGAAGAGAAAGAUGAUGAUGAAUAUAUCAAGAACAAAAAGGAAUCACUGAAUCCAGAUCAUAAGUACAGUGACUCAGAGAGUGGAAAUGACACAGAAGAGGAUACCUGGUACCCUCAUAAUAUGGAAGAGUUGGUCACAGUAGACGAAAUAGGAGACGACGAGGAAAAUAUCAUUGAACCUGACAUACCUGAACUGGAUGAAGAAAUCCAAAAUUGUACACCUCCUGCUGAACAUUCUGAAUAUUGUAAUUUGUCACUUGAUGUGGCAGAAAUACAGAAACAGAUUAUUCAGGACAACUGUGACUUGGUUGAAGGCAAUCGGGUUGGUGAUAAUUCAGCUGAAAGUGAAGAGAUCGUUUUAUCUGACCUUGGUGACAAAAGUCUGAAAGAAGCAGAACAAACCAUGGAUAGCCAAAAUGAAUGCUGUGAAAUAAGCCAGGAUGCAGAACUCUUGAACUGUCCAGCACAGGGUUUGUCAACUGGCCAUAAAAUAACAAAUCUUUUAGAACAUGUUCGUCCAGUAAGUCCUACUAUUCUCAUCCACCAGCAAAAUGCAGAAGAGCAGAAAGUGUCUUCAGAAUGUCAAAAAAAUGUGAAAGGUAAAGAAAUCUGUGAAACAGAAGAAACAAAAAUGGACCCUAAAGUUCUUUCAGAAGAUGCAUUACAUAUACUUUGCCAACCAUUACAAAGAACAGCACUUCAAAGCCACUCACCUGCAAAACCAGAAAUGGAGGGAAAGAAAGCACAUUCAUCAUUACCAUCAUGGGAUCAUGAGAAUGUAUUUAGUGAACUUGGCAUCCCAUUAGGUGUGGAAUUUGUGGUGCCAAGAACCGGAUUUUACUGUAAGCUUUGUGGUCUGUUCUACACCAGUGAAGAGACAGCUAAAAUCUCCCAUUGUAGGAGUACGGUGCACUACAGGAACCUGCAGAAAUAUUUAUCACAGUUGGCUAAAGAGAACUUGAAUAGUAUGCAUGAGAAUGAUGUAAACACAGAAGAGAUUGGUAUUGUCCCGCAGUUUGAAGAAAUAACCAAACCUUGUUGAGCUGAAUGGGAGGAUUAAACUGAAUUGCAUGAACUGCAGGUAAAAGGUGCUACAAGUUACCACUUCCUAACAAAAAGUUUUGUAAAAAAAAGGAAACAAUGGUCUGUCUUUAUUGAAGUGAGCCGAUUAGUUUAAUUGAUGGCAGAACCAUGUUUUGCUUCAGACUCAAGAGUAGAUGUACAAAUAUUGAACAGUAAAGCUCAGCAAAGGACCUCUGUGCAUCUGUUGGGAAAUUCCAGGAAAUAUAUGCCAUGGCUGCAUGUAAGUGGUUGUUAAGCUAGAAAAAAGAUAAUUUUUCAAAGAUGGACAACAGUAACAAAUGGGACUUCAACAUUUUUGUCUGUUUACACAUACUGUUCAUGGUGUGGGCAACACAUUGACAAUUCCAUUUACCAAACUUUCUUACAGUAAAAACACCCACAUACAGCCUAACAUGUUUGACUGAGAAUUCUGUUUGAAAUGUCAUUGAACAUGGGUGUGAGCAGGGCCAUCAUACGUUUCCUUUUUUUUUUUGUGACCUGAAAACAAUAAAAUGAGGCCAUGAAUCUGAAUAGUAAUUAUUAGGUGGUCAUAAACAGGAGUAAUUUGACCCUUCUGCUGUUGUAUUAAAUUUUUUCACCCCUUUGAUACCAUUUCAAUUAAACUUACAUACAGCAAACUUCCAUCUAUUUUAAUCAGUUGCAUCAAUUAAGAUUUCUUUAAUGAAAAUCUACAUGGUAUACAGUAUAUGAUUUUUUUCCAUUGCUCAUAUAGCACACGUGGCUGUGUCUUUUGGCCAAAAAUUAAUU